This 225-nucleotide long non-coding RNA is filed under the name Capsicum annuum. Its description in RNAcentral is "long non-coding RNA (CANN_LNC001036)". The record is from RNAcentral. Lineage: Eukaryota; Viridiplantae; Streptophyta; Magnoliopsida; Solanales; Solanaceae.
CCGAGUUAUUUCAGGGUUGUAAUUCGGAUUUUAGUUUAUUUAUGUUAUGUUGGCAUCUAUGUUUAAACCCUUCUAUCUUUUUAUUUAAUGAAAUGCAAUGUCCCUUUUGUUUCGUGUCUAAUAUAUUUUGUUUUUCUUUUUUACACAGUUCUCUUUAUGCUGAUUCUAAUGACAUGACAUGCAUGUGAAAUUUUUAGCCUGAUCUUAAAAUCCAAACUAAUCAAG